Long non-coding RNA from Raphanus sativus (radish), 463 nucleotides. RefSeq lists it as uncharacterized. The record is from RefSeq and is a predicted model, not a curated record. The transcript is spliced from 3 exons. Lineage: Eukaryota; Viridiplantae; Streptophyta; Magnoliopsida; Brassicales; Brassicaceae.
GUCAAACAAAGUUCUCUACUAUGCUUUCCAGUUACUAGUAUAGUGAGGAGAAGGAUACACCACCUGUCUUUUUGCUUCUCCUAGCUCUCUCAUCUAGCUAAGAUCUAAGACUAAAGUGAGGACUUCAGUGAUCUCGUCCUCCUACUUCCAUUAUUGUGUCAUAGAGAGAUAAGAGAUAAGUUGAAGUUGUGACGCAUGUGUGCCAGUACAAGUAAGGAGACAUAUCCUUUACGUUCAACUAUUCACUAUUCUUUGUUGGCCCAUGAUGGCAGUGGUGAUCAUGGUUCAUCACCAGAGGGGGAAAAAUGGCGAGCCUAAACGCGACUUGAAGACAAACAUUGGAGUUGCCACUUAUAACAACAUGUGGGUAUGGAUCGCGUUAACUCACCGCGGUGACCGCAGUUCAUUUUGGAGGGCAUUGGCCUGGGAUUUUCCCACGGUCUUUUUUGUUUUCAUUUGUUAU